RNAcentral lists this ribosomal RNA (442 nucleotides) under uncultured bacterium. Its description in RNAcentral is "partial 16S ribosomal RNA". It matches the Rfam family "Bacterial small subunit ribosomal RNA", at positions 338 to 795 of the family's 1533-position model. The record is from RNAcentral.
CCUACGGGUGGCAGCAGUGGGGAAUAUUGGGCAAUGGGCGCAAGCCUGACCCAGCAACGCCGCGUGAAGGAAGAAGGCUCUCGGGUUGUAAACUUCUUUUAAGAGGGAAGAGCAGAAGACGGUACCUCUUGAAUAAGCCACGGCUAACUAAGUGCCAGCAGCCGCGGUAAUACGUAGGUGGCAAGCGUUGUGCGGAUUUACUGGGUGUAAAGGGCGUGCAGGCGGGAACGUAAGUCAGAUGUGAAAUCCCGCGGCUCAACCGCGGAACUGCGUUUGAAACUGGUUUUCUUGAGUACCGGAGAGGUAAUCGGAAUUCGUGGUGUAGCGGUGAAAUGCGUAGAUAUAAGGAAGAACACCAGUGGCGAAGGCAGAUGACUGGACGGCAACUGACGGUGAGGCGCGAAAGCGUGGGGAGCGAACAGGAUUAGAUACCCCGGUAGUC